RNAcentral lists this long non-coding RNA (348 nucleotides) under Mytilus galloprovincialis (Mediterranean mussel). Lineage: Eukaryota; Metazoa; Mollusca; Bivalvia; Mytilida; Mytilidae. The record is from RNAcentral.
GGCGGAUCCAGAACCUUGAUGUCUGGGGGGGGGGGGGGGGGGCACCAUCAAACCAAAAUUUUAGAUUUUUUAGAGAUGUAUAUACGGUAUAUGCGAGUGUGAGUGUUUGUUUUUUUGGUUGUUGUUUUUUAAAAGGGGAGAGGGUCAGAUCAUCGUUUCUAUAUCUCUAUAUUUCUAUAUUUUUUUUAUUGUUUUUACAAUUUCACUUUAUACUUUCUUUUCCUGCCAAUUGAUCUGUUAUUAUAUUUGUCCUCAACAUGCAUCAAAUAUUUGCCACUGGACGUUAAACAACAUACAAUCAAUUAAUAUUUUCUUCAUCACCUCUAUAUUUUUUUGGCCUUGCUUCCA